RNAcentral lists this long non-coding RNA (1269 nucleotides) under Anser cygnoides (Swan goose). RNAcentral describes it as "lncRNA (ENSACDG00005011309.1)". The record is from RNAcentral. Lineage: Eukaryota; Metazoa; Chordata; Aves; Anseriformes; Anatidae.
UCACUGAUGGUUGACCUCUCAUCUCAGUGCAGACUCAUAAGCUUCUCAGCUUCUGCUUAAACUGCAGAUUCGGUUUCAGUUGGUUCUUGAAAUGUAUUUCCUGUUUCUAUCAGGAACUGUUUUUCGUGCACAAUAGGUAGCGGAAGAUAUAGUACAUAUCCCUUAGCCUGUCUUAUUUACUAAAAUUCCUUUGGCUUCCUUUCACACGUUCAUUAGCCUAUCUUAUCUACUGAAAUUCUUUCAGCCUCCUCUCACGGUGGACCGGGACCGGGACGAGUGGUACCGGCGGCGGGGAGCCCGCUGCGGGCUACUCGGGGCGGCAGCGGGUGGUCCGGUCCAGCCGCCGCCGCCACACAAUUGGAGCAGGGCGCUUCCAAUCCUCCUCCGCCUCUCCGAGACUCUUCCUGUGCCUGCGAUCCGCACCUGGCUCCCGCAUCGGCUCCGGCAGCUCCGCACCCCCCCGGGCACCUCGGGGCCCCCCCGGGCACCUCGGGGGGCAGUGCCCUCCGGCAUCCCGGCGGGGGUCGGGGCUGAAGAAAAGGGUUUUUACGUCUUCGCGGCUUUCAGAGUGAGAGUUUUCGGGAGGAAGGAACACGUUGAAACUCUGCAACGGGAAAGCAGCUAGUGAAGACCCACUGGGGACUUCCCCUCCCCUGGCUCCUGGGGCCAAGCGUGGUCUGGGGUCCCCGGGUAAGGACAUCGGGGCCGCAGGUUUCCCUCUGCCUGGGCAUGGUGCCCGUGCUGAGAGCUACCUGCUCAUGCUCUGCACCCCACAAUAGCAAGCCCGAGUCAUCUCACCUCCUGCCUAACCCUGCAGUAACAAGCUGGUGUUUUCCAUCGCCCCAGCCCUCCCGUGCAACCCUGCAGUAACACAGCGCCCCAGAGCUGGUGCACGCUGCCAUCGCCGCAGCAGCGCUGGCACAGGCGGCGUUCCCGGGGAAGUGGUGUAACCAGCAGGGAAACCCCUCCCUGUCUGGAGUCUCCUCUGCCUCCUGCCCUGGUGUGUUAAGGAAUUUGAUGAGCAGGAUAUAGGAUGUUAAGGAAUUCGAUGAGCGGGAUCUGAUGGGCAAACCGACCUGUCCCUUGGGGUGGCAGGGCUGGGGGAUGACGGAUCCCUACUCCUCAGUAGUGCCUGUGCUGCCAUACGGGUUGGAGAAGUGGGGGCUUUGCUGCUGUUUGCAAUCACAGUGAAGCCAGGGAUAAAAGAGCGGGGGCUUGCUUAAUCGUAUUAAUGAUUUCUGAAUAAAACAAUCAUAAUUAUUAAAGCCA